UUGACCUCGGAUCAGGUAGGAAUACCCGCUGAACUUAAGCAUAUCAAUAAGCGGAGGAAAAGAAACCAACAGGGAUUGCCCUAGUAACGGCGAGUGAAGCGGCAACAGCUCAAAUUUGAAAUCUGGCCUCGGCCCGAGUUGUAAUUUGCAGAGGAUGCUUCUGGCGCGGUGCCUUCCGAGUUCCCUGGAACGGGACGCCACAGAGGGUGAGAGCCCCGUAUGGUCGGACACCAAGCCUGUGUGAAGCUCCUUCGACGAGUCGAGUAGUUUGGGAAUGCUGCUCUAAAUGGGAGGUAAAUCUCUUCUAAAGCUAAAUACCGGCCAGAGACCGAUAGCGCACAAGUAGAGUGAUCGAAAGAUGAAAAGCACCUUGAAAAGGGGGUUAAAUAGUACGUGAAAUUGUUGAAAGGGAAGCACUUGUGACCAGACUUGGGCCGGGCGGCUCAUCAGGGGUUCUCCCCUGUGCACUCCGCCCGGCACAGGCCAGCAUCGGUUUUCGCGGGGGGACAAGACCGCCGGGAACGUAGCACCCUCCGGGGUGUGUUAUAGCCCGGCGGACGAUACCCCCGCGGGGACCGAGGUCCGCGCUCCGCAGAUGCUGGC
Molecule: ribosomal RNA, 603 nt
Filed under: Stenocarpella maydis
Lineage: Eukaryota; Fungi; Ascomycota; Sordariomycetes; Diaporthales; Diaporthaceae
Description: eukaryotic LSU rRNA
Rfam family: Eukaryotic large subunit ribosomal RNA
Source: RNAcentral